RNAcentral lists this long non-coding RNA (1522 nucleotides) under Ursus maritimus (polar bear). Its description in RNAcentral is "lncRNA (ENSUMAG00000013435.1)". Lineage: Eukaryota; Metazoa; Chordata; Mammalia; Carnivora; Ursidae. The record is from RNAcentral.
CUGCUGUUUGGCUUUUGGGAUAAAAGUCCGAAUCACUUGUCCUCAUGUGACUGAGGUUUUGAUAUGAAAAGCCUUAAAUACCGGUACUUAAGAAAACAGCCUGGGAGUGCAAUCCGGAUCGAAAAGCAAGUUUCUGCUGGUUGGUCCUUGACUUCACUAUCUCACGCAAGUGCUGGUGUAUUCACUGAAGUUCCCUUGCAGCUGCCCCGUGAUAGGCGGGGUGGGGUGACCCACAGGAAGCAAUGGUGACUACACAGAGCUAACGGUGAUUGUCCCACUACUCUUCAGAUCAGAUCAGACUCUUCGGUGGAAAUGGUUUUAAGGAAUGAUGGUCAGGAGGAGCUCUCACCUCCCAUCUGGUGCAGUUCUAGAGGGACGCAAAGCCCUAAAGCCUGUGUUAAUACACCGGAAGGAGCAACUGCAUGGUUUGGCCCGAAUCCUCCACAGAAACACAUCAUCCAAGUAGACCAAACAGACCCCCUGAAGACCUUCCUGAAGGGGGAGCCCCAAACCCUGGGGGUGGCGCAGAUCCUGAUUGGUCUGAUGAAAGUGUGCCUAUUUGCCAUAGUUCUUCGUAUCGGGAGCUGUGUCUAUUGCUGCUGGGAGAAGGAUGACAUUAAACCUGGGAGGAAGAGCAUGAGACAGAGGGACGUAGGGGACACAGAUCAUUCUCUUCCAGAUCAAAGGCAGCCUGGGAAUGAACAUACUCAGUGCCGUGGUUGGGGGAAUAGGGGUAAUCAUCUUAACAGUAGAACUGGCUGUGGAUCAUGGAUCGGAAAAAAGGUGUCUUAUUCUUAGGGUAUUCGAGACUGUGAUAUUAGUCCUCUCCCUGCUGGAAGUCAGCAUCACUAUCUCUCUUUCUGUGUUUGGGUGCAAGGUGACCUGCUUUGUCACACAGGUAAGUGGUCAGGGCCUGAGGGAGGGUUCACAUUUGUCAUGUGAUACUGAGUCUGUGUUCCCCGUGCCUCUCACUGUGUCUCUUCUCCCUGAACCAAUGAGAAGCCUAAAGCAGCAGCGUGAAGGAAAGAUAGUUGAGCAUGUGACUCCUUCCUGAACUUGGAGAGAACAGCGGAACACAGGGAGAGCUAUGGCAGAUGUUUCCGGAAGCCUCCUCGGUCUUGCUGGAUAUUGAUGUUUAUCUAGUGGGGCUGUAAGGACGUGAAGGAAGGGAUUUUAACUCUCAGGUCCCAGGACACAGAAAAGAAGUAGGGCCCCCCAGGAUGAGUUGAAUCCCUCUGGCUGGAAGAGUAUGUGGAUAACAAUAAUAUUAUUCCCAAUCUUCACAGGUGGUGGUUAUCCAGCCAACCAAUGACCAGGUGCCUCCAGUAAAGGCCCCUUAUGAACAUGUCUAUGAGGAUCUGGAGUUUUAACAGAAGAGUUCCUGCUUUUAGAAAAAAUUAUUCAUUGAGCAUCACUAGGUCAAUAAUAACCUGCCUGCCAGAAAGGGUUCACAUCUGUGCGUGGGAACAUAGUUAUUACAAAACCAAAUAAAAUACAUUUUCCCUCUAUUGAUGUUGAUUGU